GUGGGGAAUCUUGCGCAAUGGGCGAAAGCCUGACGCAGCCAUGCCGCGUGAAUGAUGAAGGUCUUAGGAUUGUAAAAUUCUUUCACCGGGGACGAUAAUGACGGUACCCGGAGAAGAAGCCCCGGCUAACUUCGUGCCAGCAGCCGCGGUAAUACGAAGGGGGCUAGCGUUGCUCGGAAUUACUGGGCGUAAAGGGCGCGUAGGCGGAUCGUUAAGUCAGGGGUGAAAUCCCAGAGCUCAACUCUGGAACUGCCCUUGAUACUGGCGAUCUUGAGUGUGAGAGAGGUAUGUGGAACUCCGGGUGUAGAGGUGAAAUUCGUAGAUAUUCGGAAGAACACCAGUGGCGAAGGCGACAUACUGGCUCAUUACUGACGCUGAGGCGCGAAAGCGUGGGGAGCAAACAGGAUUAGAUACCCCGGUAGUCC
This 425-nucleotide ribosomal RNA is filed under the name uncultured bacterium. Its description in RNAcentral is "partial 16S ribosomal RNA". It matches the Rfam family "Bacterial small subunit ribosomal RNA", at positions 354 to 796 of the family's 1533-position model. The record is from RNAcentral.